RNAcentral lists this ribosomal RNA (1547 nucleotides) under Companilactobacillus musae. Its description in RNAcentral is "bacterial SSU rRNA". It matches the Rfam family "Bacterial small subunit ribosomal RNA". Lineage: Bacteria; Bacillati; Bacillota; Bacilli; Lactobacillales; Lactobacillaceae. The record is from RNAcentral.
AGAGUUUGAUCCUGGCUCAGGACGAACGCUGGCGGCAUGCCUAAUACAUGCAAGUCGUACGCACUCUCGUGAUGAUUGAAGCUUGCUUCAUGAUUCACAUUCGAGUGAGUGGCGGACGGGUGAGUAACACGUGGGUAACCUGCCCUAAAGUGGGGGAUAACAUCUGGAAACAGGUGCUAAUACCGCAUAACAACUACUUUCACAUGAUCGUAGUUUGAAAGAUGGCUCUGCUAUCGCUUUUGGAUGGACCCGCGGCGUAUUAGCUAGUUGGUGAGGUAAUAGCUCACCAAGGCAAUGAUACGUAGCCGACCUGAGAGGGUAAUCGGCCACAUUGGGACUGAGACACGGCCCAAACUCCUACGGGAGGCAGCAGUAGGGAAUCUUCCACAAUGGGCGAAAGCCUGAUGGAGCAAUGCCGCGUGAGUGAAGAAGGUUUUCGGAUCGUAAAACUCUGUUGUUGAAGAAGAACAUGCGUGAGAGUAACUGUUCACGUACUGACGGUAUUCAACCAGAAAGCCACGGCUAACUACGUGCCAGCAGCCGCGGUAAUACGUAGGUGGCAAGCGUUGUCCGGAUUUAUUGGGCGUAAAGAGAAUGUAGGCGGUUUAUUAAGUUUGAAGUGAAAGCCCUCGGCUCAACCGAGGAAGUGCUUCGAAAACUGGUAAACUUGAGUGCAGAAGAGGAAAGUGGAACUCCAUGUGUAGCGGUGGAAUGCGUAGAUAUAUGGAAGAACACCAGUGGCGAAGGCGGCUUUCUGGUCUGUAACUGACGCUGAGAUUCGAAAGCAUGGGUAGCAAACAGGAUUAGAUACCCUGGUAGUCCAUGCCGUAAACGAUGAGUGCUAAGUGUUGGAGGGUUUCCGCCCUUCAGUGCUGCAGCUAACGCAUUAAGCACUCCGCCUGGGGAGUACGAUCGCAAGAUUGAAACUCAAAGGAAUUGACGGGGGCCCGCACAAGCGGUGGAGCAUGUGGUUUAAUUCGAAGCAACGCGAAGAACCUUACCAGGUCUUGACAUACCAUGAAAAGCUAAGAGAUUAGUCUUUCCCUUCGGGGACAUGGAUACAGGUGGUGCAUGGUUGUCGUCAGCUCGUGUCGUGAGAUGUUGGGUUAAGUCCCGCAACGAGCGCAACCCUUAUUAUCAGUUGCCAGCAUUCAGUUGGGCACUCUGGUGAGACUGCCGGUGACAAACCGGAGGAAGGUGGGGACGACGUCAAAUCAUCAUGCCCCUUAUGACCUGGGCUACACACGUGCUACAAUGGUCGGUACAACGUGCUGCGAACUCGCGAGGGUAAGCAAAUCACUUAAAACCGAUCUCAGUUCGGAUUGUAGGCUGCAACUCGCCUACAUGAAGCUGGAAUCGCUAGUAAUCGCGGAUCAGCAUGCCGCGGUGAAUACGUUCCCGGGCCUUGUACACACCGCCCGUCACACCAUGAGAGUUUGUAACACCCAAAGUCGGUGGGGUAACCCUUCGGGGAACUAGCCGCCUAAGGUGGGACAAAUGAUUAGGGUGAAGUCGUAACAAGGUAGCCGUAGGAGAACCUGCGGNNN